RNAcentral lists this transfer RNA (56 nucleotides) under Nematodirus spathiger. RNAcentral's name for it is "tRNA-Leu". Lineage: Eukaryota; Metazoa; Nematoda; Chromadorea; Rhabditida; Molineidae. The record is from RNAcentral.
AUACAUUUAGUAUAAAAAAUAUAUUAAGUUUAGAGUUUAAAGAUAAAAAAUGUAUU